AGUGGUUUCUGUUUCCUGGAACGAAAGCCUGGCUGAUAUCAAGUGAAAUCUGAAACCGGUGCUGGCGGGGCUUCUAUGUUCAGCCGAGGCCACACUGUUGGGGAGGAAGCAGAAUUUCUCGGCUCCACAUAACCGGACACAGAGCAUGGGAAGGUGUCAUUUAGUCAUUAACGCCACCUACACCUGGAGGCUGAGCUGGCUUUGGAGUCUCUCUGGCUUUAUUAUCUUCAAGCAGGGCCCACUGUGGGGAGCAAACAGUUUUUGGGGGGACUGUGCAAGGAAAGGGAUGUGGGUGCUAAUUAAUGAUCCUAUGAUGAUUCGAUUCUAAAUUCCAGCCAGGAGGCCUCGUGUUGGUUUUGGCUAAUUAAGACACACCCCGUGCCCACCCUGCACUGGCGGCUCAGUUAAUCAGAGCAUCGUCCCAUACACCAAGGUUAUGGGUUCAAUCUCCAGUCAGGGCACAUACAAGAAUCAACCAAUGAAUACAGUAAAAGUAGAACAACAAACCAAUGUUUCUCUCUUUCUCUCUUUCUCCCUCUCCCUUCUCUCUCUCCAGAUGCUGAAUUGGGGCCUUCCCACCCCAACCACCUCCCUCCUACCAAUAACUGUGCAUUUGAGGUUGGGAACCAGCAGGAGGUCACUGGCGGGGGCGGAUGGAGACUUUCUUCUCUCCAGUCGGCUGUCUCUCAGCUGGAGAGCUCAGCCGGCUGCCCCAGGACCCCCUGCCCCGUGUGGUCUCUGGGCUUAGCGGUGGCCAGGGCCAUGGUGUCCAGUCUCUGGGAGGGGCCCUCCAGGCUGGAGCAAACCAAGGACUUGGGAACAGGAAGGCUGUCUCGUGGGGCUGCCCACCCCAGGACAGAGAGAAGGCUCUAGAGAGGCAGUUCCUCUCUGGGUCUGCUUCUGACCUUCUCCUCCAAGGUCAGAGGACUUCAUUCCUCUUUUCCUCAGGCCUGGGUGGGGAGGGCGGGGGCAGAGUACAGAUGUGCGAGGACUUCACAGUGCCCGGCCCCUCCCGCCCUGCGGCACGAGGGGGUCGCUGUCCCAGCUGGGGAGAGAGCUGGCCUCCCAGGCACAGCGUGGCCUGGCCCGGCCGCCCAAAUGUGGGGUUUCAAUAUUUAUUUUUAGUGGCCGCUGGUUAAAUGAAAAGCAGCCUUCAUUUGGGUGGGAACAACCCUGAAAAGUAAAAAUAAAUCAGAUCCGUGCCUGGUCAGGAAACACAGCCAGCCCCUGCUGGGCCGACCCUCGGCCCGGUGCCCCAGAUGUCCAGGGCGAGCCGUGAGGCCAGGGACUCGAGGGCCCUGCGGGGAGCCAGGCCGGCGGGUGACCACAGCCCCUCACUGGGAAAACCGCUGCCCUUCUCCACUGGCCUCCCAGGCCUGGCCGGAGCCCGGCUCACCUGCCUCCCACUGGACCUCUCAGAGGCUGUAGGCUGCUGGCCAGGCCGGCUGCACCGGUGUCUCGGGUGGGCACUCAUUGACCUCUCUGACCUCAGCUCAGGUCGGGAGGAGCUGGCUGCUCUGAGCAGGUCAUAGGACUCUGCCAGCCCCGGGUUGGCUUCAGCGCUUUGGAAAUCCAUCCACGUUUCCCGCCAGUGCCAGGGCUCGGCGCUCUCCCUGCUGAGGCCCCUCUGCUUGUCCUACCUGAGCUGAGGGGUGACCGAGUCCCUUCGAACCAGCACUGAACGGCAUGGGGUGGCCGAGGUCACCCCUUGGUUUGGAUUUGAGAGUGUUGGGUGGUGGGGUGUUCUCCCCACGGUGGAACUGACAGUUGGGUCUGGGGGCCCCCUGCCCCAAAGCCCCCAGCCAAACCCUAUCCUAUCCUGCUUCUCGGGGGCCUGGUGCAUCCCCACUUGAGAAGGGCUUCUCAUGCCUCAAGAUCAGGCUUCUCCAGCGGGUCUGGCUGGGUGAAGUGGGCCCACCUUGGGAAGGGUGACGUCGGGGACUGGUGGGGAACCUAAGCGUUACUGAGCUUCUACUUUUCAGGUGUAGAAAGUGACACCUAGUCCUUCUCCCAGGUCCCAGCUCACGAAGGAAUAUGGGCUCCAACCCAGAGGUGCGUGCGUUUCAGACAUCCUUUGUGGCCACCUCCUCAUGGCCUGGGGACCCCUCAGGGAUGGCCGUACCACAGCGUUUCUCAGACACCGAUCACGUAGGGCCCCUCCCCUCCUUAGAGGGGACACUCUCUUGGCUCCCUGGGGUUGACGCAGGUUAUUUUUAUUAGUGUUACUUAAACGCAUAAACACCCGGCAGCAGGUGCAACUCCCUGAUGCUGUAACUGUUAGAGGGACGCCAAGACCACUCGCACGCAAAAUUCUAGCAAAAUAAGCGGACAAGAGAGAGAGGGUUCCGUGAACAGCAUGAACCUAAUGAGGUGGGGGGACCGUUUUGCUGAAGGGAGUCCCUGCUGCUCUCUGUUAGGAGAGCCAGCGUGUCAGCUUGAGGUCCCUUGGGCCCAGCCCGCGGGGCCUGCAGGGUCCGCCAUUGUCUUCGCUUGAACCACGAGGUCUGGGGGUUCACCUCACACGGAGGCGUCAUGAGCCAUCCACUUGGUGAGGAGACAAGCGUAUCCACCCCUUGUACCCCAGUCCUUAGAAUGGAACGCUACGGGUUGAAGUUGGGUCUCGGUCACUGAGCAGAGCCCCCAAACGCGGGGGGAGGACUGAGUGGGCACCCAGCACACAAGGGGGUGUCCUGUGUCCGGGGCAGGUAAGGAGCUGGGAAAUCUUUUGGGGGAGGAAUCUCAUAGCCUCCAACUUCCAGCCACGUGUGUGGGUGAAGUCAGAAUGCCAUUCCUGUCCUUUGUCCCAGGGAAGGGAGGUCUGCCUGCUGCCUGGCUCUGGCUGCUGGUGUCCUUCAGGUCCUGCUGGUCCUCACAUCCCCGUGAACCCCCAGGAGCGAAGGUCGGGGCAGCUGGGCAGCCAGGCCUCAAGAAAUGUCUACCUGACCCAGAAGGGCUCCCCGCCUGGACCUGAGAAUGAUUGACAGGCGCCUGGGGCUCCGGGGUCUGCCUGGCAUGGAGACCGCAGCCACGCGACCGCACAGGGACACGAGUGGGAGGGAAAUGAAGGUCACGGGCAGAAGACAGCCUCAACAGUGACACAGCAACACGUCCACUCUGCGUGUUCUCGGUUCUACUGGGAGAGCAGGAAGCCAAGCAGCUCUUCCAAUUUGGGAGGGCAAUCUUGGUUCGGCCAACGGCACACCUUGGUCAGACGUCUUGCUGGUUGGUGGCCUCAGCCGGCCGGGCACUCCCCUUCUCUCGGCCCCAGUCCUUCACUGCGGGCACCCAGUGGAAGGUACCGUGCAAGGCCAAAGUCAUUUUGUGGCCUCAGGUCUCUUUUAGAAACAGAUGAUAUGUAAAUGAUUAAUA
Artibeus jamaicensis (Jamaican fruit-eating bat) is the source of this 3369-nucleotide long non-coding RNA. RefSeq lists it as uncharacterized. The transcript is spliced from 3 exons. Lineage: Eukaryota; Metazoa; Chordata; Mammalia; Chiroptera; Phyllostomidae. The record is from RefSeq and is a predicted model, not a curated record.